AUAAUCUGAUCAUGACUGACAUUCCCAACCAAAGCUAUUGCGUGCAACCAGCCAUUGAGGUUAUCCAGUUGGUUCCUCAAGAACCACAGGAGAAGAUGCAGAGAUCCCCUCAAAAAAGAGGAACUUUUAAGUAAAUAAAAAAAGUGGGAUAAGCUGUCGAGGUGCAGGGUACUGACCUACAACCAAGCCAUCGUGCCACAUGGAAUAUAUACUUGGAACAGAUAAGCUAAAGGGACUAUGUGGGGUUUUCAGGAAGCAGCUGGGCCAGUAUCUCUUUGGAGAUCAAAUUCAGGCUCCACCCUUUACUGUGCAUAUAAAUAAUACAUUAGCCUAUUUAUUUCAAGUUUGGUAUUCAGCACUCAUACAGGAUUCUGUAUUCGCCCUGAAAGGGGCUUGUUAUUACCCUUGAGUAUCUUUAGAGAGCUCCCUCAUACAUGUUCUGUUUUGGCAUGUUUAUGUUCCCUUUAAUACAGUUUUAAUGAGCAAUACAACGAGACAAAGAGGGUCUCUGGAAUAGGACUGUUUAAUGAACUGCAUCUUUGUAAGAACCUGAGAAUAAAAGUUAUGCACAGUAUAUAUAUUUAAUAAAUGAUUAAUUCAA
This is a long non-coding RNA of Triplophysa dalaica, 601 nucleotides long. RefSeq lists it as uncharacterized. The record is from RefSeq and is a predicted model, not a curated record. The transcript is spliced from 2 exons. NCBI's taxonomy places the organism in Eukaryota, Metazoa, Chordata, Actinopteri, Cypriniformes, Nemacheilidae.